ACGAGUUUGAUCAUGGCUCAGAUUGAACGCUGGCGGAAUGCUUUACACAUGCAAGUCGAACGGUAGAGGGGGCAACCCCUUGAGAGUGGCGAACGGGUGAGUAAUAUAUCGGAACGUGCCCAGUCGUGGGGGAUAACGUAGCGAAAGUUACGCUAAUACCGCAUACGAUCUACGGAUGAAANCGGGGGACUCGCAAGAGCCUCGCGCGAUUGGAGCGGCCGAUAUCAGAUUAGGUAGUUGGUGGGGUAAAGGCUCACCAAGCCAACGAUCUGUAGCUGGUCUGAGAGGACGACCAGCCACACUGGAACUGAGACACGGUCCAGACUCCUACGGGAGGCAGCAGUGGGGAAUUUUGGACAAUGGACGCAAGUCUGAUCCAGCCAUUCCGCGUGCAGGAUGAAGGCCUUCGGGUUGUAAACUGCUUUGUACGGAACGAAACGGUGAGCUCUAAUACAGUUUGCUAAUGACGGUACCGUAAGAAUAAGCACCGGCUAACUACGUG
RNAcentral lists this ribosomal RNA (502 nucleotides) under uncultured bacterium. Its description in RNAcentral is "bacterial SSU rRNA". It matches the Rfam family "Bacterial small subunit ribosomal RNA", at positions 1 to 507 of the family's 1533-position model. The record is from RNAcentral.